This 72-nucleotide transfer RNA is filed under the name Bos taurus (domestic cattle). It matches the Rfam family "tRNA". Rfam says of the family: Transfer RNA (tRNA) molecules are approximately 80 nucleotides in length. Lineage: Eukaryota; Metazoa; Chordata; Mammalia; Artiodactyla; Bovidae. The record is from Rfam by way of RNAcentral. RNAcentral also lists the same sequence under 5 other names.
UCCCUGGUGGUCCAGUGGUUAAGACUUUCCUUUUCAAGGCAGCGGGUUCAGGUUCAAUUCCUGGUCAGGGAG